Molecule: ribosomal RNA, 460 nt
Filed under: uncultured bacterium
Lineage: Bacteria
Description: partial 16S ribosomal RNA
Rfam family: Bacterial small subunit ribosomal RNA
Source: RNAcentral
CCUACGGGCGUCAGCAGUGAGGAAUAUUGGUCAAUGGCCGGAAGGCUGAACCAGCCAUGCCGCGUGAAGGUCAGUGCCCUAUGGGCGUUAAACUUCUUUUGUGUGGGAGCAAUAAUGGUCACGUGUGGCCAGACGAGAGUACCGUACGAAUAAGCAUCGGCUAACUCCGUGCCAGCAGCCGCGGUAAUACGGGGGAUGCAAGCGUUAUCCGGAUUUAUUGGGGUUAAAGGGUGCCUAGGCUGUGAGGUAAGUCAGCGGUGAAAUGCCCCCGCUCAACGGGGUGAAGUGCUAUUGAUACUGCCUUGCUGGAAUGCGGAUGCCGUGGGAGGAAUGUGUGGUGUAGCGGUGAAAUGCAUAGAUAUCACACAGAACACCGAUUGCGAAGGCAUCUCACGAAUCCGCGAUUGACGCUGAUGCACGAAAGCGUGGGUAUCAAACAGGAUUAGAUACCCUUGUAGUC